GACGAACGCUGGCGGCGUGCUUAACACAUGCAAGUCGAACGGAAAGGCCCUGCUUUUGUGGGGUGCUCGAGUGGCGAACGGGUGAGUAACACGUGAGUAACCUGCCCUUGACUUUGGGAUCACUUCAGGAAACUGGGGCUAAUACCGGAUAGGAGCUCCUGCUGCAUGGUGGGGGUUGGAAAGUUUCGGCGGUUGGGGAUGGACUCGCGGCUUAUCAGCUCGUUGGUGGGGUAGUGGCUUACCAAGGCUUUGACGGGUAGCCGGCCUGAGAGGGUGACCGGCCACAUUGGGACUGAGAUACGGCCCAGACUCCUACGGGAGGCAGCAGUGGGGAAUAUUGCACAAUGGGCGGAAGCCUGAUGCAGCAACGCCGCGUGCGGGAUGACGGCCUUCGGGUUGUAAACCGCUUUCGCCUGUGACGAAGCGUGAGUGACGGUAAUGGGUAAAGAAGCACCGGCUAACUACGUG
RNAcentral lists this ribosomal RNA (468 nucleotides) under uncultured bacterium. RNAcentral describes it as "partial 16S ribosomal RNA". It matches the Rfam family "Bacterial small subunit ribosomal RNA", at positions 28 to 507 of the family's 1533-position model. The record is from RNAcentral.